UACGUAGGGAGCAAGCGUUGUCCGGAUUUAUUGGGCGUAAAGCGCUCGCAGGUGGUUCGAUGCGUCGUGCGUGAAAGACCCCGGCUCAACUGGGGGGUGUCGUGCGAUACGGUCGGACUGGAGGCCAGUAGGGGGAUGCGGAAUUCCGGGUGUAGUGGUGGAAUGCGUAGAGAUCCGGAGGAACACCAGCGGCGAAGGCGGCAUCCUGGACUGGUCCUGACACUCAUGAGCGAAAGCGUGGGGAGCGAUCCGG
RNAcentral lists this ribosomal RNA (253 nucleotides) under uncultured bacterium. Its description in RNAcentral is "partial 16S ribosomal RNA". It matches the Rfam family "Bacterial small subunit ribosomal RNA", at positions 524 to 776 of the family's 1533-position model. The record is from RNAcentral.